RNAcentral lists this ribosomal RNA (253 nucleotides) under uncultured bacterium. Its description in RNAcentral is "partial 16S ribosomal RNA". It matches the Rfam family "Bacterial small subunit ribosomal RNA", at positions 524 to 776 of the family's 1533-position model. The record is from RNAcentral.
UACAGAGGGGGCAAGCGUUAUUCGGAAUUAUUGGGCGUAAAGGGCGCGUAGGCGGCCUGGCAAGUGGAAGGUGAAAUCCCUCGGCUUAACCGAGGAACUGCCCUCCAAACUGCUUGGCUUGAGUCCGGGAGAGGUGAGUGGAAUUCCCAGUGUAGCGGUGAAAUGCGUAGAUAUUGGGAGGAACACCAGUGGCGAAGGCGGCUCACUGGACCGGAACUGACGCUGAGGCGCAAAAGCGUGGGGAGCAAACGGG